This 175-nucleotide ribosomal RNA is filed under the name uncultured Pseudomonadota bacterium. RNAcentral's name for it is "uncultured proteobacterium partial 16S ribosomal RNA". It matches the Rfam family "Bacterial small subunit ribosomal RNA", at positions 356 to 548 of the family's 1533-position model. Lineage: Bacteria; Pseudomonadati; Pseudomonadota. The record is from RNAcentral.
AGGGAAUCUUGCGCAAUGGGCGAAAGCCUGACGCAGCCAUGCGGCGUGGAUGAUGAAGGUCUUAGGAUUGUAAAAUCCUUACAGCGGGGACGAUAAUGACGGUACCCGCAGAAGAAGCCCCGGCUAACUUCGUGCCAGCAGCCGCGGUAAUACNAAGGGGGCUAGCGUUGCUCGG